GUGGAAAACAUGGGAUUUCCCUUUACUGCACAGCCUGGUUAGCAUGGGUGUGCUCCUGUCAGCAAUACCGCAGGUGAGCUGGGGAGAGCUGCUGUGCCAGGCUCCAGCUUCACUUGCCUGCUGCACUGUGGUGCUCAGGAGCUCAGCUGGCGAUGGGACAGGGCUCCAGUGCAGGAGCAGGCUCUUUUCCUCUCCUGCCUCCUUCCCAGAGCCAACCCAGGCUCCACCUUGGCCCACUCUGGAUGUAAAGCAGCCAUGAAUCAUCUCUUGAAGACCCCAGGCACUGCAGUCUCCCUGGCUUGCAAAUCCUUGGAGGUUACCACCACUGAGCCCCCGAGUGCCCUGGGCACAGCAGCACUGGGGGCUCCAGAUCUCCUGUCUCUUGUCCAUUGGUCCCCAGGGUGGAUUUCACAGCUGAGCUACCCCAGCCGCAGCUGUAAAAGCCCAUUCCCACAGGACCUUCUCUUCUUGGUCCCCUGGCAGCGCCGGGUCUGGUGCAGGAUGGUGGGAGAGCUCAGGCUCUACGGACAGGCUGAGGGAAGGGGCAGGGGCACCCCAGCCCACAGGGAGGCACUGGGGGUCCUCUGAGGAUGCGCAGUGAAGGACAGGGUGUCCCAGGUUCAAGGGGAGCUGUACAGGUUACCCCAAAGGGCUGCACCACUGUGGAGUUAGGAGCUGGCAGCAGCAGGCUUGCCAGUCCAUGUGGGUGCUGGCUGGGUGAGGAGCAGUGGUCAGGUCCUCCUCUUCCCUCGCCACUCCACCGCCAGGCCAGCACACGGGAACGCUGUCUGCAGGUCCCUGCGGAGCUUUGGACAACAGCAGCUCCUGCACCGUGGUGUUGCCCAGGUCCAGGGGCACAGUUAGCCGCAGUGACAGAAAGAGGUGAGAUGAACCUAGGGCUGCACUGAGAGUCCCAGAUACUGUUGACAUGCCUGGGGCUGACCCCAUGGUUGAGUUGGAGAUGCCAGGGGUGCUCCCGGAUGUGGGGCUGCUGCUGGACACCUCCGUGCUGCUAAUGGAGAAGGCUGUGCUGUCUGUCAGGGUUGUCAAGGGCUCAGCUGAAGCGGCUGUCGGUGCUGGUGCAGUGACAGCAGGCGUGGUGGAUGGUGAGAAACUGCUGGUCUCUGGGGUUGUGCUGGACCUCUCCAGGGUAGAGGUUUCAGGGCUGGAAGGAGGGAGGGUGGCUGCAGUGGUGGGGUCAGUGGUGGGCAGCCGUGCUGAGGUCUCCAUAGGUGUCAGGGAGGUAGGGACACUCGUGGACACGGCUGCUGUCACAUCUCCCUUACCCAGCACAAGGUGCAGCACAGCGAGGCGGGUGAAGCUCAGCAGCAGCAGGGGCAGGGGCAACCUCCUGCUCUGCCCAGCCAUGUCCAGGUGGGUGGGAGACGAUGGGACCCUGCAGGCACCAGUCCAAGAGCUCCCUAUAUCCCCAGCACUGGGAUUUCCUGGUCUCCUUUGCCCAGCAGAGAAGGAGCAUCCAGGUGAGUCCUUUCACUCCCCAGGUGUCAGCAGCAAUGGGGGGGUUUCCACCCGACACGGAUACUCCCAGGGAGCGGUGUGGUGCCAGGUGGACAUCAGCUGCACGUCUGGACCCAGAGGAGCCACAAGCAGCAGGCAGGGCAGGCCGGCAGGGCCACCACUGCAGCCGGGGACCGUGCAGUCCUUGCCUCCUGAGGGGACGGUGACAACGGAAAAAAGCCCAGAGAAGCAGCCAGGCUGCCUGAGACCGUCCCUGCGCUCCGCCACAGGG
Long non-coding RNA from Strigops habroptila (Kakapo), 1750 nucleotides. The record is from Ensembl. NCBI's taxonomy places the organism in Eukaryota, Metazoa, Chordata, Aves, Psittaciformes, Psittacidae.